This 503-nucleotide ribosomal RNA is filed under the name uncultured bacterium. RNAcentral's name for it is "partial 16S ribosomal RNA". It matches the Rfam family "Bacterial small subunit ribosomal RNA", at positions 28 to 505 of the family's 1533-position model. The record is from RNAcentral.
GACGAACGCUGGCGGCGUGCCUAAUACAUGCAAGUAGAACGCACAGUUUAUACCGUAGCUUGCUACACCAUAAACUGUGAGUUGCGAACGGGUGAGUAACGCGUAGGUAACCUGCCUGGUAGCGGGGGAUAACUAUUGGAAACGAUAGCUAAUACCGCAUAAUAUUGAUUAUUGCAUGAUAAUUGAUUGAAAGAUGCUAUUGCAUCACUACCAGAUGGACCUGCGUUGUAUUAGCUAGUAGGUGAGGUAACGGCUCACCUAGGCGACGAUACAUAGCCGACCUGAGAGGGUGAUCGGCCACACUGGGACUGAGACACGGCCCAGACUCCUACGGGAGGCAGCAGUAGGGAAUCUUCGGCAAUGGACGAAAGUCUGACCGAGCAACGCCGCGUGAGUGAAGAAGGUUUUCGGAUCGUAAAGCUCUGUUGUAAGAGAAGAACGGGUGUGAGAGUGGAAAGUUCACACUGUGACGGUAUCUUACCAGAAGGGGACGGCUAACUACG